GAUGAACGCUGGCGGCGUGCCUAAUACAUGCAAGUCGAGCGAACAGACGAGGAGCUUGCUCCUCUGACGUUAGCGGCGGACGGGUGAGUAACACGUGGAUAACCUACCUAUAAGACUGGGAUAACUUCGGGAAACCGGAGCUAAUACCGGAUAAUAUAUUGAACCGCAUGGUUCAAUAGUGAAAGACGGUUUUGCUGUCACUUAUAGAUGGAUCCGCGCCGCAUUAGCUAGUUGGUAAGGUAACGGCUUACCAAGGCAACGAUGCGUAGCCGACCUGAGAGGUUGAUCGGCCACACUGGAACUGAGACACGGUCCAGACUCCUACGGGAGGCAGCAGUAGGGAAUCUUCCGCAAUGGGCGAAGGCCUGACGGAGCAACGCCGCGUGAGUGAUGAAGGUCUUCGGAUCGUAAAACUCUGUUAUUAGGGAAGAACAAAUGUGUAAGUAACUAUGCACGUCUUGACGGUACCUAAUCAGAAAGCCACGGCUAACUACGUG
RNAcentral lists this ribosomal RNA (497 nucleotides) under uncultured bacterium. Its description in RNAcentral is "partial 16S ribosomal RNA". It matches the Rfam family "Bacterial small subunit ribosomal RNA", at positions 28 to 507 of the family's 1533-position model. The record is from RNAcentral.